This 301-nucleotide ribosomal RNA is filed under the name uncultured bacterium. Its description in RNAcentral is "partial 16S ribosomal RNA". It matches the Rfam family "Bacterial small subunit ribosomal RNA", at positions 509 to 809 of the family's 1533-position model. The record is from RNAcentral.
CAGCAGCCGCGGUAAUACAGAGGGUGCGAGCGUUAAUCGGAUUUACUGGGCGUAAAGCGUGCGUAGGCGGCUUCUUAAGUCGGAUGUGAAAUCCCUGAGCUUAACUUAGGAAUUGCAUUCGAUACUGGGAAGCUAGAGUAUGGGAGAGGAUGGUAGAAUUCCAGGUGUAGCGGUGAAAUGCGUAGAGAUCUGGAGGAAUACCGAUGGCGAAGGCAGCCAUCUGGCCUAAUACUGACGCUGAGGUACGAAAGCAUGGGGAGCAAACAGGAUUAGAUACCCCGGUAGUCCCUGUCUCUUAUAA